UCAGGUAAGAAGCAGGUAGAUUAUCUAUUUAACCCAGUCAGAUCUGAAAGGAAGCAGCUGUAUAAUUUUUGUCUAGGUUGUUUCUUACCGUUUUU
RNAcentral lists this non-coding RNA (95 nucleotides) under Rickettsiales bacterium. The record is from RNAcentral. Lineage: Bacteria; Pseudomonadati; Pseudomonadota; Alphaproteobacteria; Rickettsiales.